CCGCCGCCGCCGCCGCCCGCCCAUUCCUCCAGCAACAGGUUCCCCCGGGAGCGGGAGGGGCGGGAGCGAAGCGCAGCUCGCAGAGCGGAACGUCCCCGAAGUCUCCGAGCCGUCGAUCCCGCCCGAGGCAGACGGCGCUUCCCCCGAACCUCCCCCGGAGUCCCCGCCGGACCCCACCUCCGGGACUCGCUCGCCCCGCCGUGGCCUGGAGCGCACCCCAUCCUAAACGGAAGGCACUCGGCCGCUACUGUAAUGCACCCCCAACCCGUAAAAUCUUGAAGAUGUUAAAAGGACUCAUGGAUAAAUAACAUUUACGCCACAUUUAUCCUCAUCUAGAAGCUUCCGGAAGAAAAAGAAAUAAGUCUAGAAAAGAAGUAUAGUGGACUGUCUUGAAAACAAGGUGAAAGAAAAAUUUGACGCUGCAGAUUCCCUCUGGAUAGGACCAUUCGGGAGAGAAGGAGAAAGUGGAUGAGAAACUUUGUGGUUGUUUUUUUCUUCUCUCAUAAAAACAACGAAAUGGCCCAGACCUGGACUAUUCGAGGAAUGAGAGAAGACAGAGAAGAUUGCACACUCUCGACUGGUCCCCAGAGGCAGCAGGCAGCCCAGAUUUGAAGCAAUUGCCCCAUGUUCGGGAUGAUUUCUGCCUUUUCCUGCCAAAGCGUUGCUUCAUUUUGCAAGGAAGUCAGGAUGAAGAUGAAAGUCUUCAACACAGCCAGAAGUUCCUGAGAGCUGAGUCCCCCACCUCAGAGCCUCACCUGGAACCGCCCUUGCCCUGACUCUCUGCUCUCCAGCUCAUAGUGGCUUUCUGUUCUACUUUUCUACUCACCUUUCUCCUUUGGGAACUUUUCACUUGCUUUUCUCUUACCUGGAAGGUGGGCUCUCUUUCCCAAGCUUGACUUUGGCUCAGUCAUGACUAUUCUGAUGACCUACCCUUGUUACCUUGCCUCAGGGUACGAGGGGGAAGCACCCCUCUGGCCUGCCUGGAAACGGAUGUGUUACAUCCUGGCCAGGCCUGCCUGGCCCCCGCGAGAGGGGGCCCAUCUGAUGGCCCUGGCUCUGCCCUCCCUCUCCUGCGGGGGAGUGCCAGGCUGGGUGACACUGCAGGGGCUUCCGGGGCAGCAAGGCUGCGUGUCCAGUCCAGCUUGCCUUGUCACGGAGGAAGCAAGUUCUGAGAUUGACCUUGGCGGGGGCAUUUUCUGAAGGCAACUGUACCCUUCAUCUACCUUUGGUUCACACAUUCCGACUGCCAGCGGGCCUGGCUCAAAGCCAUUUUGGCAAAGAGGAGAAUUUAUAGCCUGAUUAGUUUAAUUUUGUUUUCUUCCCAAAUUCCUAUCCUCAGGCAGAAAUAAUCUCCAAACAGCUUUUAUAGCAGGGGGAUAAAAUGGGGGAAGCGUGCAGGGGGAAGAGAUCACAGCAAGGACACCGAAGUUGGAAAUAGGUUAGCUCCUCAUUUAAUAAUAAUACAUUAUUUUUAUAAUAAUAGGUAACACUUACUAAAUACCUACUAAGUCCUGGGUACUGCACUAGGGAUUUGUACAUAUAUUAGCUCAUUUAAUUUUUUGAACUCUAGCCCUUUAAGUUGGGUUCUGUUAUGAUUUCUACUUUAUAGAUUAGGAAAGUUGAGGAUGAAAGAGGUUAAGAAAUUUGCCCAAAGUUAGUAAGUAGCAGAGGUGGGCUUAAAGCCGAAGGUAGGGAAGCUGAAAUCGUUGCCUUGAGGAUGAGAAUAUCAAAUUACAUUAUGGUUUCCAGUGCAGGGGUCCAGCAAAGACUGAUCAUCAAAACAGUGGAUUCUAGAGAGAUCCAAGCAUGACUUAGGAUAUUCCCCAGGUGCCCACACGCCAGUGAUUACUUUCCAGAUACUUAUCCAGUUCACGGGGAAGCAGCCUGGUGUAAGAGAGAACAUGAGCUUUGGAAUCAUGUAGACCUGGGUUUGAAACUGAACACAGCCUCUUCUAUCUGUACCAUGUCACAUACAAUAUAUAACUUCAUUGUGACUCAGUUUUCUCACCUUUAAAAUGGUCAUUGUGAUUCAUAACUCAUAGGGCUGUGAAGAUUAAGUUGGAAAACCUAAUACAGCUUUUUGCACCGUGCCUGGCAGGUUAAUAGUGACCAAUAAAUGGUAGCUAUUAGCAUGAAACUGAUGCGAAGGGAAGCCAGAGAUGCUUAUUAUUAAUCCCCCCUUCCAUAUUUCAUUAUUAGCUGAUAAAUUCCACUGUUGACAUUUGAAUUAAGGUGUACUCUCUCUGAGAGGCCUGAUUAAAAACAAAAUACCUUACAGGGAAAACACAUUAAACUAUGAGCAGUCUCAGUUAUUAAGUCUUGAUUAAUAAUUAAGCUACUUAUUGUGUAAGCUGGAACAUAAGACAGUAGCUUGCAGAAAAAAAGCCUUAAAUUAGUAAUACAACAGCUGCAUCCAGAUACUAACUGCUAUAUAUAAAAUUGAUAAACAACAAGUUUCUACUGUAUAGCACAGAGAACUAUAUUCAAUAUCUUGUAGUAACCUAGAAUGAAAAAGAAUAUGAAAAUGAAUAUAUGUAUGUUCAUGUAUGACUGAACGAUUAUGCUGUACACCAGAAAUUGACACAUUAUAAAAUGAUUAUACUUCAAAAAAAGUCGAAGACAACAGCUGUAUCCAUUUAAUUAGGGUAUAUUAUAUGUUUGAUAUAUAUUAUAUAAUCUUUAUGACUACCGUGUGGGGAUGGUUCUAUUAUCAUUUGAUUUAUGAGGUUUAGGAAGAGAUUAAGCAACAUGUCUGAAGCCACCUGAGACCAAAUGAUGGGAAAAGGAUUCAAGUAGAAGCCUAACUCCAAUAGCCAUACUUUCCCCGUGAUGCCUCGCUCCUCUUGGGCCUGGUAGUCCCACUUCUGGGAAAAUGUCCUAAGUAAAUAAUUUAAAAAGAAAAGGUCAGUUGUUAAAACACAAACAAAAAAUUAUUUAUAGCUCAUAUUCACAUGGCCCUAUGACCCCAGGUUGGAAAGUGAAGAGAGGCAAGCUGUCACACUUUAACAUAAUGUAGGAAAUUUCAGAAGACCAAUACAUGAAUCAUGUCAACGGAGAACAUCUGAAACUAUAUUUAGUAAAAAGGACAGAAUGCAAAAUAGUAGCAUAAACAGUACAUACGCACUUCUGAAAACUAGAGAAAAUUGGUAUCUGUAUACCAAUAAGGAUGAGAAAUAUUUAGUUUUACAAAUGAUUAGUGUAUGAAACCUCUUUUGUUGUAUUUUGGGGCAUAGCUGUUGUAAUGUAGUGUUCAUUUUAACAGAAAGAAAGAAAGCAUAUUGAACCAAGUUCUUAAAAAGGAGAUAGACUCUUUAAAACUAUCUAGAUUUAAGUUGUAAAACUGGCUUCUUGAAAACACUGAAACAAAAGGUAAUCACUAUCUUGAGAGGGAUUUGUGUAUUACAGUGUUUCUUCACCUGGAAUUUUAGGACUCUGAGGGACAGUGAUCGAGGGACCCCAAAUCUGUACUGUAUUUCACAAAACAUGAUGGAAAUUGUGUAUAUUAAAAGCACGUUUAAUCACCUCAGCUAUAGUUCAGGGUAUAAGAGUUUUGCUGUUAUCAGAUCACCUGAAUUUGAAUCCCAGCUUUAUUCCCUACUUGCUGAAUGAUGCUGGUCAAGCUAAUCUCUUCUGUUUCCUUGUUUGUAAAAUGAAGUUAAUAAUAAAACCCACCUCAGUGGGUUACUGCCCACAUAUGGUAAGUUAUCUGUUAAACAUUAGCUAUUAUUAAACUCUAAAGCUUCUUGCUUUGAUCUGGAGUUAUAUCAGUUCAGCACUAAUUUUAUUAUCUCAAAUCAGAAAUCUCCAUUGACAAUUGUACAAGCUUUUGAUUGCCCAAAUAUGGGAAAAUGAAUGAACUGUGAGUAAAUGCAAUUUGGUCAAUAAUAUCUUUCAAAAUAUGGGUGAGAGGAGGCAGGCAGGGAGAAGUGCUAGGGAUCGUUGGUGAUAAAAUAUGCGGAUGAGUACACUAGAUGGUGGCAUUUGAUAAGGACAAGGGGGAUGCGAUGCCUGAGCAAAGCAUGGAGGUGGGGAGGUGGGAAGCCGGCAGCCACGCUGUCAGAGGGAGACAGUCAAGCUUUGUUGAGGCCGGACCCGCCCUGAAGACAGAUCACUGUCCUCCUCUGCUCCCCGUGCAGUGGUUGGAUUGUGACACCUGAACCCAAACCAGGACCUGUAGAGGUGAAAAUGUGUUUCUAAAGGGGGUUGUGCAACCUGGGUACCAGAGGGGCCUCCCCAUGCCUGGGAAGUCUGCGUAAACUUGACCUGAACCUGAAUUCCACGGCCACGGCCUGUGACAUCAUCACAAGGCCUCCGCAUGGUUUCUCUCUGGCUCUGACCUCUUCCUCUACUUGCUGCUUUGUGCUGCUCCAAGUCAAAGGAGAGGCAAGUCCGGCCCUUCCUCCAAGUUCCACAAACAGCGCACAGGCGCUGAUUCUUUAAUGAACUUAGUAAAAUGCUAAUGGACGGGGGCAGGUAUCCCAGGUCCAGGCUGCAUCCCACACACAUGGCCUCUGCCUCCUUCCAGUUUCAUCUCCUCCACCUUUCUGGUCUCUUUCCCUCUCCUCCCCCUUCUCAUGUGAGAGAGAUAAACCUACUCCAGCCCAAGCACUUAUGGUAUUUUGCCAACAAAGAUAGUUUGCUGGAAUUCUGAUCAAAAUAUUUUCUCACUCAUAUUACAGUUGUAUUAGGCCAAUGUAACUUUUAUGACUAUCAUUUAAGGCAAAAGAAGUGCUUAUAAAUAAUAUUUAAUUAUAAAAGCUAUUAAAAUGCUUACAAAUGGUGGUCUGUCAGUGGAGUUUUGACACAUCAGAUCCCCAGUGGUGGCAAAGAGUUGGGACUCACAAUAAGGGAAUGGGGAGCUGUAGGGCCCAUCCUCAAGACCAGAGAAAGAGCCUGGAGUCAGCAACAGAGACAACAGUUAUUUGAUAGAUGGGGAAUCUUACACAUCUGAAGCAAGAGGGUCCUAGAGCGAUACCCCACUGUGGAUGGCAGACGACAGGCAGGACAUGGCAGCGGUCUUCACUACCAAGGGAAGAGGGAGGUAACCAGUUAUAGGGGGAAUUGAUGUUUCAUUGGUUACCAGGGAAACCAGCGGAGGGGCAUGCCCUUCCCUGCCCCUUUGAUAAGCUAUCAGAGCAGAGAUGUUCUGAGCUAAAGAUUAGAACAAUCACUAGCAGAGGCCAGGGGCAAGUAUGUAGGCAUUUACUGCUGAGGCUCUAGGAUUCAGAAGGAAGGUGGGUCCUAUGGGUAGGUGUGGGUGAGCAGGGACUGGUGGAGCAGAGGAUGUACAGAGAGCAAGAGAACAGCCAUCUUGGGUGGUCUGCCCAUACAGGAGCCAUGGAGUCAUUGAAGAAUCCUAGUAGGAGAUUUAUGCCAUUCAACUGAUGUCUUUUAGGAAGGUCACUCUAGUAGCCUGAGGGGAAAGGACAGGAGGGAGGCAAAAGUAGAUGCAAAGAAACCAGGGGCAGCAGACAAGAAGCUCUGGGAUAAGACAUUGCUGGUGGCAGUGGAAUGGAGGGGUGGGUUUGGGAGCUUUAGAAACUAGUGGCCAGUGGAUGUGGGAAGUGGGGGAGAAGAUCAUGAAUUAGGGUGUUCAGCUUGUCUUAGUUUGCCUGGAACUUUACCAGUUUUAAAACUGAAAGUCUUGUGUUUUGUGAACCCCCUCAGUCCUGAGGAAAUUAAGCCGGCUGGUCAUCUUCUAGGCUUUUUGGGAGAGUGGAAGUUUGACAGCAGAAGAUGAGAGGAAGGACAUAGAAGGAGGUAGUUACUUGGUGAUGAAGUGAGAGGGGAAGUAGUGGAGGUGGUGCCUGGUGAUAACAGAAUCUUGAAAUAAUCCUGUGUUUGAGAUGCCUGUGGGAUAUUUAAAUCAACGUUAACAGCCUGGUGGUCAGAUAAGAAGUCAAGGCAGAUAAAGGCUUGAUAACAACCAAUCAGCAGUCACAAUAACCACAAUCUAACAAAAAAACUACUCCAAGUACUUUGUGGUUUUGGCUUCAUUUGAUCUUCACAAUAACCCCAUGAGGUGGGGAUUAUUAUUACCAUUUUCCAGUUGAGGAAACUGAGGCGCAGAAAGGAUAAGGAACUUGUUCAAGGGCAAAGUCAAAAAGCUAGUAAGUGGAGGUGCUGGACAAACAUUUCUGGCCCAAGACGUUCUUUGAGACACGUGUUACAGGAGCAAAGCAUCAGGAACACCCUAAUGAGGAGGCAAAUAGGUAAAUUAGGAUUCAUUCAUAAAGGAAUGAGUGUGCUCAGUUUGUCCCCUGCCCCCACUCCCAGAAAACGAAUGCCACCCUCCCCUCUUUCUCUACCCCCUGCAGGGCACUGGCUCUGCUGGUCUUGUUCUUUUAGACCUCUGUGAUGUCAGAAGGACAAGCAGGUGAGAGCCAAGGUGAGAGGGAGUGUUGAAGACAUUGGUAUGGGAGCAGCUGUGACACAUCAGGGACAUGGAAGAGAGAAAAAUGAAACUUUUUAAAGACGUAUUCCUGUUGCAUGAAUCCCCUUCAUGGUAUUCAAAAAUACAAAGGGCUUGAGCUUUUUAGAAAUCACUUACUGGGGGCUGAGCUCAAUUUCUGUGACAGUGACUGCGCUUUUCAUCAAGGCUGGGGUAAUGGCUUUACUGGUAUUGCCACAGUAUUGUCACAACAUCGGGGGUGACAGAAAUGAGGCAGAAGGGCCUAGAAACCGCCCAAAUAGGAAGGGCAUUGGGAAUAACCAGAUACUGAGAGUUUAUGUUUCUGAGUCCAAACUCGUUCUGCUCACUGCAUGACAGGCCAAUACAUCAAGAGACGAGGUGUUGGGGCAAGGAAUAACGGCUUGAUUCAGAAAGCCAUCAGAACAAGAAGAUGGUGGACUUGGUGGACUAAUGUCCUAGAGAACCAUCUUCUUGAGUUUGAAUUCAGGCUCCUUUCAUACUAAAAGGGGAAGGGGUAAAAUCCUGGUUCUGGCCAGACUCUGGAAGGGAUGUGUUAAUUUCUUCCUUCCCACAGCCAUUCACAGGCGAGCCUGGUCAGGAUGUUUCCUGUGAGUUAAAUAAAGAUAUUUUAGCUUAACUAAGCUCAUUACCUGGGAGACAGGAUUCCCAGAGAUGGGCCAUUAUGUAUAAUGUAAGCUUAUAGACAACGUCCCUUUAAUGGCUAACAAGCAAUAGAAUACAAAGUUUAAAGAAACAGAUUUAAUACAGAGUCAGAUUUGUUCUUCCCUAUUAGAUUUACCAUGUGCAGGUGCUGGAAAUCCAUUCAAACGGGAUAAACCACAGCCCCGGGCUGCCUGGAGCUCCCAGCUUCCUGGAGGAGAAGGACACAGAAAUAAAUGUUACUAUAAUGCACAGGAAGAAGAAAACUCUGCCUGAGGACAGCCCAGCCACUCAGAGACCGUAGCAGCUCAACCAAUGAGAAGCCUCCAUACUUUGGCCUCCCAGGUUCCAAUGGAUUCUUUAUUACAGCCCAUCCAACCCCCCAGCUCCCCAGCCUUUCCCUACAAAAACAUUAUCAAUUAUCUACUAUGUGCCAAGAAAUCAACUUGACACCAGCAAGUGAGGAAUUUGAUAUAUAACACCAAGAGUGGACCGUGUGGCUUGAGGAGUUUCGUGGGAACAUGAGGAUGGUACCCCACCUGGUGACAUGUUACCCUGCUGGCAUGGUGACUGAUUCUUCACCUGACCAGGACACCGUUCGAAGCAGGAUCUGGUGAGCUGGCCUGGGCCCAGGUCGUGAAGGAUGGUUUAGCGGUCGGAUGGAAACAUGGAAUCAUCGCCCCCAUGGACUUGCCCUGAGGCUGCUCCGGGAAGAGUGGCAGGAGGAUGACAGGGCAUUUGUCAAGAAUAAUUGGCAGCAGUCAUUUACUAUCACAUGGCCUGAGCUGGUGAUAACAGUUGAUGUCAACAAAGUUACCAACAAAACUCCAAAGGAAAAGGAAGAGAUUUACUAACAAGAUGAAAUGCCAAGGUUACCUUUGCACUGGGACAAGUGGGCAAUAAAGUACCACCUGAGCAGGCUGGUGCAUUCCAAGCUCUGUUGCUCCAACCCCAAAAGGAAUACGGUCAGCACUUCUGGAAGAGACAUUGCAGGAGGUGAGUCCAGAAGUAUGCACUGAAGGGAGGCAGGGGAGAGCAAGAAAAGCUACACCAGUACGUCAGACUCAGUCAAGGAAGGCUGUUAGCAGGAGCUAAAUCCCUUGCUCUGCCCGUUCCUUUAAUGAGUACUGCUUUCAUUUUGGAAUUUUGGCCCCAGGGCUGUGACUUAGAAGGAGACCUGCAGGAGCACACUAAUAGUCUAGUUUCAUCCUUCCAGCUGCCAGGCACAGAUGAAUACAGGUUUGUACUGGA
Long non-coding RNA from Camelus dromedarius (Arabian camel), 8323 nucleotides. RefSeq lists it as uncharacterized. The transcript has 10 exons. The record is from RefSeq and is a predicted model, not a curated record. Lineage: Eukaryota; Metazoa; Chordata; Mammalia; Artiodactyla; Camelidae.